CAAGGAUGAAAGAAGUAAUUAAGGAGUUUUCCUUCAUGAUAAAGGUGUAUUAAAUGGGCAAAUUCUUGACGUUGACAAAGACAACAUCAAUGUUACAACCAUUUAUCAACUCCCACAGUGAACUAAAAGGUCGCUUAAAAUAAAUGUAUGUAUACAACUUGUUAUUUAUAAAAUGCGAGAAAGAAUAUAUUUUUGCGGCCGUGACAUAUUAUUUUGGUAUUUUGAUUUGUUUGGUCUGACUUUAUCUUUUGAUAUUUCAUUAAUAAUUUGCGGAUUUGAAGCUUUUUAUGAUGUUUAUAUAUUUUCAUAUUAUCAACAGCUGAAAACGUGACGUAAUUAAGUGAUUUAGAAACAUACUUAUUGCUCACAAAAUAAUUGCGUUUUUGUUCAUUUUUGUAAAUUUUAGACAGAUACCAAAUUAGAUUAUUUAACGAUAUAAAACAUGGAAAAACUAGCAAUCGGUAUUUAUAUAUUGAUGCUGCACACCAUCAGACUAAAUGCAAGGGCCACCGAUGAUCGUUGUUCUAUAGCCAAAGUUGAAGCAGCAAAACACGAAUGUCAUGACGUUUAUGCUGGGGGACCACCAUGGCGACUUUGACACUAUAUGUGAAAAUGUUGAAUGUUAUCUUCAAUGUCUAAAAGAAGCCAUUGGCGACUGUAGUAAUGAAAUCCACCAUUUUAAAGAGGACAUCGAAGUUUAUAAAGCACUUUACAGAGUAAGAUGUUUAAAUGCAACAU
Molecule: long non-coding RNA, 738 nt
Organism: Ruditapes philippinarum (Manila clam)
Lineage: Eukaryota; Metazoa; Mollusca; Bivalvia; Venerida; Veneridae
Exons: 3
Source: RefSeq, a predicted model, not a curated record